This 479-nucleotide ribosomal RNA is filed under the name uncultured bacterium. RNAcentral describes it as "partial 16S ribosomal RNA". It matches the Rfam family "Bacterial small subunit ribosomal RNA", at positions 28 to 507 of the family's 1533-position model. The record is from RNAcentral.
GAUGAACGCUGGCGGCGUGCUUAACACAUGCAAGUCGAACGAAGCACUUAAGAUUGAUUCUUCAGAUGACGUCUCUUGUGACUUAGUGGCGGACGGGUUAGUAACGCGUGGGUGACCUGCCUCACACAGGGGGAUAAAAGUUAGAAAUGACUGUUAAUACCACCUAACCCGAUAGGAUAGCAUGAUCCAGACGGAAAAGAUUUAUCGGUGUUAGAUGGUCGCGCGGCUGAUUAGCUAGUUAGUGAGGUAACGGCCCACCAAGGGGACGGGCGGUACCCGGCCUGAGAGGGGGAACGCCCACAAUGGGACUGAGGCACGGCCCAAUCACGUACGGGAGGCAGCGGGUGGGAGUAUUGCACAACGGGGCCAAGCGUAAUGCAGCGGCGCUGCGGGAGUGAAGAAUUAUUUGGGUAUGGAAAGCUCUAUCAGCAGGGGAGAAAAUGACGGUACCUGACUAAUAAGCCCCGGCUAACUACGUG